Molecule: ribosomal RNA, 253 nt
Filed under: uncultured bacterium
Lineage: Bacteria
Description: partial 16S ribosomal RNA
Rfam family: Bacterial small subunit ribosomal RNA
Source: RNAcentral
UACGUAGGGGGCAAGCGUUGUCCGGAUUUAUUGGGCGUAAAGAGCGUGUAGGCGGCCAUUCAGGUCAGCUGUGAAAACUCGGGGCUCAACCUCGAGACGUCGGUUGAAACCGUUUGGCUAGAGUCCGGAAGAGGAGAGUGGAAUUCCCGGUGUAGCGGUGAAAUGCGCAGAUAUCGGGAGGAACACCCGUGGCGAAGGCGGCUCUCUGGGACGGUACUGACGCUGAGACGCGAAAGCGUGGGGAGCGAACAGG